This 119-nucleotide ribosomal RNA is filed under the name Lepisosteus oculatus (spotted gar). The record is from RNAcentral. Lineage: Eukaryota; Metazoa; Chordata; Actinopteri; Semionotiformes; Lepisosteidae.
GCUAGCAGCCAUAUUACCUUGCAACUCACAAUUGGCAAGUCCACUGAACUCAGCAAGUAUGAGCCUGGUCAGUACCUGGAUGGGAGACCUCCUGAGAAAAACUAAGGUUGCUGCUGGAA